AUGCUAUUACUGAAAAUUUAACCAAAUAAAUUAAAUUAUUGUAUGUUAACUAUAAAAUUGUUGUGUGUUUAAAAUGUUAUAUUAAAUAAUUAGUAAUAUCAUGUAAAAUAAAUAAUUAUGUGUGUAAAAAUAAAAUAGUUAUCCGUACGGUUAUGCGGGUCAAAAUCUAGUACUGAUUCGAAGGAGUAUAUCAGUGCUUUAAUUAUGAAUGCAAUGGUUAACCCCAAAAAAUGUUAACAUAAAUGUCAUAUAAAUUAAUCUCUUAUCGAACUAUAUCACAAACCUUAGCCCGGUUGGUAGAGCAGAAUACUAUAGUUGUUGCAGAUAAUUUUGGGUCGCUGGGUCUUUAAUCUUGUAACGAUGGGCCGAUAAUUCAACAUAUAGCCCUGCCUAGAUAUAAAAAUUUUAGUGGUCAAAUUUAGAAAGAAGGGUGUAUAUGCAUGCAUCAAAGAACGCGGUUUUCCACCUAUUAGACCAUCCGCAACGCGGGAUGUAGACAAAUCCUUAGCCCAAAUCCUUAGUGUCAUUUGAUUAUUUUAACAAUAUAAUAGACGAAACAGCUAAGGAUGAAUCCUUGUUCAAGGGUUUUAAGGAUUCAGUCCUUGAGGACGUGGCAUCAUUCUUCAUUUUUUUCAAUAGAUUCUCCUCCCCUUUUUUGUCACUGACGGUGAUCACUCCAGCUACACGUAUCGCGCCGCAGCUUCACUGAUCCUUUAACCACCGAUUGACACUCCCCUCCGCCUCUAAGAAACUCCUCUUCCUCAGAAACCCCACUCCCAGCCCCACGUUCGUCGCCGUCCGGUUCCAGAAACCUUACUCCGAUCGGCUCAACGGAAUCCACGAACCAUGCCUUUUCUGCUUCGUUCAAGCGGCCUCACCUUCAAGCUCCACCCUCUCGUGAUGCUCAACAUCUCCGAUCACUUCACCAGGGUCAAAACUCAGCUCAACCCUCCAUCCGAUCAGCUCAACCAGGGUCAUCGCUUUCUUCCUCUUUAAGGUACUGAUCGAAUCAUCACCAUGGCUAAGAACUCAUUCAAGCUCUCUAAUCCUCUUGGACUAUGUGCCUACUGUGUUUGAUAAUUUUCAGCGCCAAUGUGAUUGUGGAUGGAAACACUAUCAACUUGGGAUUGUGGGAUACUGCAGGCAAGCUACCUUUUCAUUUCAUCAUUCUCUUUCUGAAUAUUUUGCUCUGCAGAGAGAGAGUGAGUCGUUUGUUUAUUUGUUUUGGACUCUGGAUGAAACAUGACAAGAAGACUACAAUAGACUAAGGUCUUUGAGCUAUCGAGGUUCAGAUGUCUUCUUACUUGCCUUCUCACAUUCAGUUUCGGUUAAGUUGAUGGUGUUUAUGUGAAUAAAUGGUUUAAAUUUGCAGCAAGCUUACUUCAAUUUUGUAAUACUUCAAAUACAAGUGCUUUGACAAAAGCAAUUUUGUAUAUAUUAAGGA
This is a long non-coding RNA of Raphanus sativus (radish), 1444 nucleotides long. RefSeq lists it as uncharacterized. NCBI's taxonomy places the organism in Eukaryota, Viridiplantae, Streptophyta, Magnoliopsida, Brassicales, Brassicaceae. The transcript is spliced from 3 exons. The record is from RefSeq and is a predicted model, not a curated record.